GGAUGUGAGGGAGAUCUGGCUGCGACAUCUGUCACCCCAUUGAUCGCCAGGGUUGAUUCGCCUGAUCUGGCUGGCUAGGCGGGUGUCCCCUUCCUCCCUCACAGCUCCAUGUGCGUCCCUCCCGAAGCUGCGCGCUCUGUCGAAGAGGACGACCUUCCCUGCUAGAGGAGGACCGGUCUUCGGAUAAGGGUAUACGAGUAGCUGCACUCCCCUGGUAGAACCUCCAAACAAGCUCUCAAGAAAUGAAAGAAUAUAUUUCCCUGUAGCUUCCACUAAAUAUAUCCCCAAUUACAUUCUCCUAUUUCCUUGGGCCCCUACACCCAUGUGGGAGACCCAGAAG
This 340-nucleotide small nuclear RNA is filed under the name Oryctolagus cuniculus (rabbit). RNAcentral describes it as "7SK RNA". The stretch from base 1 to 295 matches the Rfam family "7SK RNA". Rfam says of the family: 7SK was discovered as an abundant small nuclear RNA in the mid-70s but a possible function has only recently been suggested. Two independent studies have found that 7SK RNA binds the CDK9/cyclin T complex (known as elongation factor P-TEFb). P-TEFb activates transcription by phosphorylating the C-terminal domain of RNA polymerase II. The record is from Rfam by way of RNAcentral. Lineage: Eukaryota; Metazoa; Chordata; Mammalia; Lagomorpha; Leporidae.